This 600-nucleotide ribosomal RNA is filed under the name uncultured Alphaproteobacteria bacterium. RNAcentral describes it as "bacterial SSU rRNA". It matches the Rfam family "Bacterial small subunit ribosomal RNA", at positions 54 to 690 of the family's 1533-position model. The record is from RNAcentral. Lineage: Bacteria; Pseudomonadati; Pseudomonadota; Alphaproteobacteria.
CAUGCAAGUCAAGCGAGAAGCACCUUUCGGGGUGUGGAAAGCGGCGGACGGGUGAGUAACACGUGGGAAUUUGCCUUGAAGUGGGGAACAACCAUUGGAAACGAUGGCUAAUACCGCAUACGCCCUACGGGGGAAAGAUUUAUCGCUUCAAGAUAAGCCCGCGCUAGAUUAGAUUGUUGGUGGGGUAAUGGCCUACCAAGUCUACGAUCUAUAGCUGGUCUGAGAGGAUGACCAGCCACACUGGAACUGAGACACGGUCCAGACUUCUACGGAAGGCAGCAGUAGGGAAUAUUGCACAAUGGGCGAAAGCCUGAUGCAGCCAUGCCGCGUGAGUGAAGAAGGCCUUAGGGUUGUAAAGCUCUUUCAAUUGUGAAGAUGAUGACGGUAGCAAUAGAAGAAGCUCCGGCUAACUUCGUGCCAGCAGCCGCGGUAAUACGAAGGGGGCUAGCGUUGUUCGGAAUUACUGGGCGUAAAGCGCACGCAGGCGGCUUUAUUAGUCAGAGGUGAAAUCCCGGGGCUCAACCCCGGAACUGCCUUUGAUACUAUAAAACUAGAAUAUAGGAGAGGAUAGCGGAACUCCGAGUGUAGAGGUGAAAUUCG